CCUACGGGAGGCUGCAGUAGGGAAUCUUUCACAAUGGGCGAAAGCCUGAUGGAGCAACGCCGCGUGCAGGAUGAAGGCCUUCGGGUUGUAAACUGCUUUUAUAAGCGAGAAAUAUGAGGGUAACUUAUGAAUAAGGAUCGGCUAACUACGUGCCAGCAGCCGCGGUCAUACGUAGGAUCCGAGCAUUAUCCGGAGUGACUGGGUGUAAAGAGUUGCGUAGGUGGCAUAAUAAGUAGCUAGUGAAAUCUGGUGGCUCAACCAUUCAGACUAUUAGCUAAACUGUUAAGCUCGAGACCGUUAGGGGUAACUGGAAUUUCUAGUGUAGGAGUGAAAUCCGUAGAUAUUAGAAGGAACACCAAUAGCGUAGGCAGGUUGCUGGGACGGUUCUGACACUAAGGCACGAAAGCGUAGGGAGCAAACAGGAUUAGAUACCCCAGUAGUC
Molecule: ribosomal RNA, 442 nt
Filed under: uncultured bacterium
Lineage: Bacteria
Description: partial 16S ribosomal RNA
Rfam family: Bacterial small subunit ribosomal RNA
Source: RNAcentral